Molecule: ribosomal RNA, 490 nt
Filed under: uncultured bacterium
Lineage: Bacteria
Description: partial 16S ribosomal RNA
Rfam family: Bacterial small subunit ribosomal RNA
Source: RNAcentral
AUUGAACGCUGGCGGCAGGCCUAGCACAUGCAAGUCGAACGGUAACAGGAAGCAGCUUGCUGCUUCGCUGACGAGUGGCGGACGGGUGAGUAAUGUCUGGGAAGCUGCCUGAUGGAGGGGGAUAACUACUGGAAACGGUAGCUAAUACCGCAUAAUGUCGCAAGACCAAAGAGGGGGACCUUCGGGCCUCUUGCCAUCGGAUGUGCCCAGAUGGGAUUAGCUUGUUGGUGGGGUAACGGCUCACCAAGGCGACGAUCCCUAGCUGGUCUGAGAGGAUGACCAGCCACACUGGAACUGAGACACGGUCCAGACUCCUACGGGAGGCAGCAGUGGGGAAUAUUGCACAAUGGGCGCAAGCCUGAUGCAGCCAUGCCGCGUGUAUGAAGAAGGCCUUCGGGUUGUAAAGUACUUUCAGCGGGGAGGAAGGGAGUAAAGUUAAUACCUUUGCUCAUUGACGUUACCCGCAGAAGAAGCACCGGCUAACUCCGUG